Molecule: ribosomal RNA, 497 nt
Filed under: uncultured bacterium
Lineage: Bacteria
Description: partial 16S ribosomal RNA
Rfam family: Bacterial small subunit ribosomal RNA
Source: RNAcentral
GAUGAACGCUGGCGGCGUGCCUAAUACAUGCAAGUCGAGCGAACAGACGAGGAGCUUGCUCCUCUGACGUUAGCGGCGGACGGGUGAGUAACACGUGGAUAACCUACCUAUAAGACUGGGAUAACUUCGGGAAACCGGAGCUAAUACCGGAUAAUAUAUUGAACGGCAUGGAUCAAUAGAGAAAGACGGUUUUGCUGUCACUUAUAGAUGGAUCCGCGCCGCAUUAGCUAGUUGGUAAGGUAACGGCUUACCAAGGCGACGAUGCGUAGCCGACCUGAGAGGGUGAUCAGCCACACUGGAACUGAGACACGGUCCAGACUCCUACGGGAGGCAGCAGUAGGGAAUCUUCCGCAAUGGGCGAAAGCCUGACGGAGCAACGCCGCGUGAGUGAUGAAGGUCUUCGGAUCGUAAAACUCUGUUAUUAGGGAAGAACAAAUGUGUAAGUAACUAUGCACGUCUUGACGGUACCUAAUCAGAAAGCCACGGCUAACUACGUG